This 1030-nucleotide long non-coding RNA is filed under the name Monodelphis domestica (gray short-tailed opossum). RNAcentral's name for it is "lncRNA (ENSMODG00000050355.1)". Lineage: Eukaryota; Metazoa; Chordata; Mammalia; Didelphimorphia; Didelphidae. The record is from RNAcentral.
CUUCUACGGACAGAUUCUUUUAUUGUUGUUGUUUACUCAUUUUCCCCAGAAUAUUUCUUUUCUUUGGACUUUAUUUUAUAGUUAGGCUCUGCUCCAAGGAUGGCCAUGAAGGAGCACUGAGUCAAGCUUUAGGCUUUUUCACCUAGAUCUUCUCAGAGCUAAUUCUGGGGUUAGGAAAAUUCCCACUGCUUUCAAGAUGGUAUGAUUUAGGGAGAAGUGUGAUCACCACUAACCAAGGAAGCACCUUUGAUCCCUUUCAGCUGCAACUACUACUGUUUCUCUGGACUACUGACCUAUUGGGACUAAAAGAGAUUUUCUCCAUCUAGAACUGUGCUCUGAUAACAGAUUUAAUCACCAGAAGCAUAUACACCCCACUUUUCCUUAAGUGGGGGAGGUCUGUGAUCCAUGUGUGUGAUAGUGGGUGAUGAAUCAGAACCCACUGACUGCCACCUGGGCAAUCCUAAACAAAACUUUAGCUGUAAUUGGUUCGUGUAAAAUGGAAGGAAGUCACAGGAAGUGACAAAAAGGAAUGGUUUUUAAAAAUGCCAAGAACUUCCUGUGACAAAGUCUUUCACUUUCAACAUGACCCUGGAGGAGCUCCAGCUGAGGACCUUGGACUGCUUCUAUUUUCCCUUAGAACUACCAUGUGACUCUGUUGGAAAAUCACGCUAUCAACAAAAACCGGACACACACAAGGACACAGGAACAAGCAGUUGGAUCAAAAAGACAGUCACAAGAGAGGGAAACGAGUCCAACUCACAAGGUCCAUCCAAGGAGCUUAGACCAACCAUCUCCAGCUUCAACUGUCCCCAAGGAAAAGCAACUCUGUCACUCUCCUAGAAUUGUGGAACCUUCCUGCUUCUUCCUUUGCAGCAGCCCCUCCUGCUCAUUUCCUUAUAACUGGAGAGAGAAUUUCAUCAGUUGUUCAGAAAAUUUUGUCACUGUCUUUUUUUCUGAAGUUUUCAGCUAUUUCAUCUUUCUGUCCAAGUGCUGUAAUAAACACUAGUCAUCAUAAUCCUAUUUUGACUUC